GAGGGGGAGCCCUGAUAACAACACAUGAGGGAGAGGGCACAGAACUCUACACAGGUAGACAUUUAUAUCUAUAUCUUUUUGGAUUACCACUUAGCUAAAUGUUUGCUGAAUGCAUCUGUACUUUGUAAAUAGAUCAAAGUUAACCGGCUGAUGGAUAUCAUGUGAUGUGAUAAGAACCCUCUAAACCAGAUUCUACAUGGAUCCUAUGCUGAGAUUGUUUCCAAGAAUGGCUGUAAACUUUAAAACUGGAAAAGGCUGGCCUUUGCACGCACCUGUCACUGUCCUCGUAAUCAAGCUCCUGCACCUGAUCUGCAAUCACCAGGGUAUAAGAGGGAGAACCGGACAACCAGCCGACGUCGGAUCGUCACCUAAGUCACUUGCACCUGUCUGUUCCUGCACGCUGGAUUCUCACCGGAUAUUGUACACCUGGGAAUUCACUCUCACCAUCCGCACUCCUCACGCCUGUUCCUGCCGCUCACCUACCCUUGUGUCAGCGAAUAAAUCUGACUUUCACUUGCUUUCUGACUGCCGUGUCGUUUACGUUCUGCGUUUGGGUUCAGUCCCACUACAACACCUGACAGUAUACUGUGAUUUUCCCCUCUCAGACUCGCCUGUCCCAGAGCGACACCCCAUACACUAAGCACUGUGGCGUCACACAGGCACACAAACACACACAAUAUCAUAUAAGCUACUCUCACUUACCAGGUAACAGUAACGUUGCUGUAGAAUAUUCGGGUUGGUUUUGUGUAACGUUGACCUUUGGCUCAUCAUGAUCUGUGGCAGUGUCACACGACGCGGCUGUAGCUUCAGGGACGGACUUUUGAAAACACUGAAAUUGUGUUUGGGUCUGUUUACAUUACAUAUGUUUUUACUUUUAAACUUUGUACAAACUCUCUAAUCUGAGAAUGGCUCUGACGGGCUCUGAGGAAAAACCACGCAAAGAAUGACUGCCAAACAACUUAUUGUUGCUUAGUUACAACGUUGCGUCCGAUAGGGGGCAAGGAAGCCCCAAAGACCCAAAUGUCAGUGCUUCACAACACAGAUGUGGUGAACUUAUGAAUGAAACUUAGAACGUUCUGUCACGACGAUGUUGUUACGUGUCAUCACGCUUUUGUUAGUGGGUAUACGGCGUAUACCUGCAUAUCACGUAGAUGACACCACUGCUUUACACCCCCCCAUUUUAUCAGGGUUACCAUUUCUCUCGCCCAAAACAAGUGCCAGGACAUGCCGGACAGUUUGAGGCAGCCCGCUUACCGAGUGUUCUCCAAGUACUAGCAGCUAGAUCAUCCCUGAUCCAUUAUAGAUUAACUGGAGAAUUUUCCGACAAGCUGUACGCAUGUAAUUUAAGAGAACAAAGCAGCCACACAAUGCAUGUACACAUGCUAUGUCAAACACACAAACACAAAUCUUAGUGAAUCGCUACAGAGGUAUUGACAACAAGACAAGUUGACUGCUUGAGACCCACACAUUGGGAGGUGGGCAAGGACGGAAAGCUACACUUUCAACGUCCACUAAAAAUCAACAGCUUUCAGAGUAGAACCCUGUGCUUGGAGAAGUAUUGCGUGUCUGCAUGCUCAAACAAAGCUCAAAAUUACAAAUGUUAACCAAUAAAACUGUCACUCCGAUGGAAGGAGCAUACAACGUUGAUUUCUGCGGAGCCGGUUGCCACAAAUAGCUAUUCUUGAGAAACCAAAGGUCCACCACUAGAAAAGAGUUGGUGACAGCUUCCAUAUUUGAUGCAACACUAGAGGCUACAAAACACACGAAGCAAGAAACAUAGUACUGGAAAUGAAAUUUAGACUGUGGGAUUGUUUCACAUUCUUCUUGUUGACGAAGUAUAGAAACUUGUUUUGAUGAUAAUUUAUGCAGUUAGUAUAUGUUUUGCAUUCUACAAAUAAAGCAAUGCUUUGAUCAGUGUCUAAUUAAAUGAGAGAGAGAGAGAGAGAGAGAGAGAGCGGAGGAUUGGGUUGCCUGAUAAGUACUUUAGAAUACAUUAUCAGUUGUACGUAUGAAGCGUGCUGAUUUAUUUUGUUGGUCUUGUAAUGCUCUGUUAAUUAGAAAAGGGGAGGGAUGUUUAAUCAAUUCUAGUGGGGAGAUUAAGGACAGGGGGGCAACAGCUUUCAACUCGUCAAUUAGAAGCACGGCCGUAAAACAACAGGAGCCAGAUAACUGACGGAUACACAGACUGCACACAAACAAGAUGCAAACAAGGGUCUACAGAUUUGUCAUUGCCAGUGCUGGUUUCCAGGCAGACUUUUUGUUUUCAUGCUGUUCACAUGCACAUAAAGUUUCUUAGAGUUCCCGUUUUGGUUCUCUUUCCUUGAGUAGAAAAAAGCUUGUGCAUGUGACUGCCUCCCAACUCCUUCGCUACAUCCCAUUGCUAUUCUGUAUGUAUACACGUAUGCACAACAGAAAUGAUUACAGAUUAAAAUCUUUGCUUCGUUAUGUCCUGUCUUG
Long non-coding RNA from Gasterosteus aculeatus aculeatus (three-spined stickleback), 2457 nucleotides. The record is from Ensembl. Lineage: Eukaryota; Metazoa; Chordata; Actinopteri; Perciformes; Gasterosteidae.